AGUUCAAUUGCUGGAUCAUAUGGCAAGCCUGUGUUUAGUUUUAUAAAAAACUACCAUACUGUCUUUCAGAGUCGCCAUACUAAUUGCAUUCCCACAAGCAAU
This 102-nucleotide microRNA precursor is filed under the name Marmota monax (woodchuck). Lineage: Eukaryota; Metazoa; Chordata; Mammalia; Rodentia; Sciuridae. The record is from RNAcentral.